This 128-nucleotide ribosomal RNA is filed under the name Escherichia coli. Its description in RNAcentral is "partial 23S ribosomal RNA". The stretch from base 1 to 111 matches the Rfam family "Bacterial large subunit ribosomal RNA", at positions 2813 to 2925 of the family's 2925-position model. The record is from RNAcentral. Lineage: Bacteria; Pseudomonadati; Pseudomonadota; Gammaproteobacteria; Enterobacterales; Enterobacteriaceae.
CCUUGAGAGUCCUGAAGGAACGUUGAAGACGACGACGUUGAUAGGCCGGGUGUGUAAGCGCAGCGAUGCCGUUGAGCUAACCGGUACUAAUGAACCGUGAGGCUUAACCUUACAACGCCGAAGCUGUU